Long non-coding RNA from Rhea pennata, 1407 nucleotides. RefSeq lists it as uncharacterized. Lineage: Eukaryota; Metazoa; Chordata; Aves; Rheiformes; Rheidae. The transcript is spliced from 3 exons. The record is from RefSeq and is a predicted model, not a curated record.
CUACUGCCUUGUCUUUCUUUCCUCGUCCACAGGGCGGCUCUCGGAGCAGGAUGCGGCCCGGAUGCCCACAAGGCCUGCGUAAUCCCUGCAGGAUGGACAGGGGACCACGGAGCUGCCUCGACCUCCUUCCCCCCGCCGCCCCCGCGGAGGCUGGAGGGCGGCAGGGCUCUGCCUGCCGGUGCUGCCCCGUCGGCCGCGGAAAGGGAAAUAACUGCCGAGACGCCCUAAAGAGCAGAUGACGAGGGUGCUUCCGGAUAGCGUUUGCUGCUUCCUCCAUGGGAGAAACCUCCUUUCCUCCACUUUUUUUCUGUGGAGCGAGCGACCCCGCAGGUCCCUCGAGCAAGGGAGGCGGUGGCACGAGCUCUGCGGUGACUCAAAGCCCAGGAGACUGAGGAGGGAAGGAAAAAAAAUAAAAAGUAGAGUGAAAGAAUGAAACCUGAAUUAUCUCCGAGCUGGGUAGGGCUGCGCUUUUAUCGGAGCUGAAUGGCCUGGGGCUAAGCUGAGCAAUACUGGUGUGACCGGGAGUGUUUCUCCCGGGUGGAGUCGGCACACGGAUUUAAUACCUCGGCGCCGCCGGGUGGGGAAAGGCAGCCCCAGAGCGAAGGCGGAAGGUGCCCGAUGCGGCUCCCUUCGGUGUCCGUGGGGAAAGGCAGCUCUUCGCCUCCCUUCGAGCGCUUUUGUGGCGCUCUGAGGUUCUGGACCGCUGUCUCGCAGCCCGGGGAUGUCCCGUGUAGAAGCGUUUAGGGCUCGGCCUUAUUACUGGUUUGGCUCUUGGGCUUAUUCUUAGUACCAAAGAGAUGAGGAGGAGAGAAGCGAAUGCACCUGGCAGGCUCUGAGGUGCCCCGACGCGUCCACUCACUCCCUUCGCAUCCCAGCUGGAGCUCCUUCGCUCUCCCGUCGCCAAACGGACGGCGGAAGGCCACCAAGGCCCAGUGAUCGGCCACGAACUCGGAGGACUGCCCUGAGCAAGAGUCCCCGAAUCCCUUCCCCGGCCUCCGCGUUGGGUCCCCGAGUUAGCUAGGAGUCUUGCAGGCUGCCGAGUUGUGCUGGUGUUUAUAAAGCCUCGAAUAUUUAAGCGGAGGAGCAGCCCCAGGAGCAAACAGCUCGAGCUCCAGGAGCGGAGGGAGAGGCCGAGGUCGGCAAAGUGCUGCAGAAAGACCGGAGCGCCCCGAGGACGUGUUUCGUCUCGACCAGAGCCGCCUCCGCAUUGCGGCGCCGGGACGCGUCGGCCGCCCAUGGACCGACCCUGCUCUUUGGGAGCUUUUUCUCCUUCACUUGGCAAUUCAAGGCGUCAGCGGGUGCUGGUUGCACCGGGCUGUGGUUUCUCUGGCUCACCUGCGCUGAGGGAUGGCCCCGGGCUCUGUGGCUGCACCCUGAACCGCGGCAGAGCCCUCUUAUGCAAGGAAA